Molecule: long non-coding RNA, 1387 nt
Organism: Humulus lupulus (European hop)
Lineage: Eukaryota; Viridiplantae; Streptophyta; Magnoliopsida; Rosales; Cannabaceae
Exons: 3
Source: RefSeq, a predicted model, not a curated record
UUUAAAAUAUGAUUUUAUGUUGUUAAUGAGAUUAAAGAAAGAGAAACUUGAGUAGUCAAGUAUUGGACCCAAAUGUCAUAUAAUUUUAAUUGGGGAUUUUUAUAAAAUUAAGAAAGUUUUGCUAAAGGACUUAUUUGAAAAGAAUUUUAGUAUUUUGGGUCCAAGUGUAAUUUUUAAAAAAUAAAUAAAAAAUAAAUAAAAAAUAAAUAAAUAAAAAAAAAAAAAGAAAAGAAAAGGCUUCAGCCUUUCUUUUUACCCGAGCCCCUCUCUCUCUCUCUCUCUCCUCAGAAACUCUCUCUCUCUCCUCAGAAAACCUCUCUCUCUCUCUCUCUCUCUCUCUCUCUCUCUCUCCUCUACGUAUUACUGUUGCCGACGACGCAGGAGUACUUUCCGGCCACCAUUUUUAGCCACGCGCCGGACCGUUGGAUUCAGAGGCCUCCGAACUAUCGACCCACGCGGGAAUCUAGAGCUCACUCGCCGAUUAAACGCCUCAACCACUCGAUUUAAGUUCGGCCACCCCGCGACUUCAAAGUUGCGAUUCGGCCACCUCGGGCAUCCGUUUGCCGAUCCGUCACCACCAUCGUGCUCCUCGUGUUGUGGGCUUCAAAACCCAAUAACUUGUUCCUACAUCUACCAUAGUUGGGUGGUGGGCCCACCACGAGCCACCGCGAUCCACCGUAGAUCGACGGUCGAAACUUAGUGUUCGAGGUUCCGAAGUACGUUUUGAGUCUCAGAAAAUCAUCGUUUGACUUAUUGUGGAACCCGAUCAUUUUGGAUUUGUAUGGAUUUAAUUGAUUGACUCUUGGUGAGCCGUUUUAAAAUAAGCUAAGGACCUAAGGUGUGGCUUUAGCUGUUGAGCAACUUGUGGAGCACGGACUCAGUAGCAAUGCAAUAAUGGUUUAGAGUUUUCAUAUGGCUGCCUUAAAUUUAAAGUAUUCAUACGUGUAAUAAUUUCUUCUAAUAAGUUUAUAUAAAAGUUUUAAAUUUUUCUGUAUUUCUUCGUAUCAUUUUAUUUAAUUCUUUUGGUCAAGUGCCUUACAUACUCGUAAACCCUAGAAUUACGAGUAUGUGGCAGACGUACCCUACCUUAGGGACGUUUCAGAUUAGAUGGUCACAGACAUGUUGAGAAGGUGCCAUCCGAGCAUUGGCAUAAUUCUUGGUGGCCUCAAAAUGAGUCUGCGCUGACUCGGCACCAAACAUGUCUUGGAGCUGAUCCAUGAUUUCGUAGGUUGUCUCGACAUUCUCCAUCUUUGUCAUGAGAGUGUCGAUCAUACUAGGCAACAUGUAGUACCGCGCCUUGUUUUUAGUCGCUUGCCAACACUCAUACUUAUCCAUCACAGACUUGGUGGCUCCAUUAGCUAGAACUUAUGGGGAUUCCCCAGUCAUA